Molecule: ribosomal RNA, 497 nt
Filed under: uncultured bacterium
Lineage: Bacteria
Description: partial 16S ribosomal RNA
Rfam family: Bacterial small subunit ribosomal RNA
Source: RNAcentral
GAUGAACGCUGGCGGCGUGCCUAAUACAUGCAAGUCGAGCGCACAGACGAGGUGCUUGCUCCUCUGACGUUAGCGGCGGACGGGUGAGUAACACGUGGAUAACCUACCUAUAAGCCUGGGAUAACUUCGGGAAACCGGAGCUAAUACCGCAUAAUAUAUUUAACCACAUGGUUCAAUAGUGAAAGACGGAUUUGCAUCCCUCAAUAGAUAGAUCCGCGUCGCAUUAGCUAGUUGGUAAGGUAACGGCUUACCAAGGCAACGAUGCGUAGCCGACCUGAGAGGGUGAUCGGCCACACUGGAACUGAGACACGGUCCAGACUCCUACGGGAGGCAGCAGUAGGGAAUCUUCCGCAAAGGGCGAAAGCCUGACGGAGCAACGCCGCGUGAGUGAUGAAGGUCUUCGGAUCGUAAAACUCUGUUAUUAGGGUAGAACAAAUGUGUAAGUAACUAUGCACGUCUUGACGGUACCUAAUCAGAAAGCCACGGCUAACUACGUG